UGGGGAAUAUUGGACAAUGGGCGCAAGCCUGAUCCAGCCAUGCCGCGUGAGUGACGAAGGCCUUAGGGUUGUAAAGCUCUUUUUGGCGGGGAAGAUAAUGACGGUACCCGCAGAAUAAGCUCCGGCUAACUUCGUGCCAGCAGCCGCGGUAAUACGAAGGGAGCUAGCGUUGUUCGGAAUCACUGGGCGUAAAGCGCACGUAGGUGGGCAGUUAAGUCAGGGGUGAAAGCCCGAGGCUCAACCUCGGAAUUGCCUCUGAUACUGGCUGUCUAGAGUUCGAGAGAGGUGAGUGGAAUUCCUAGUGUAGAGGUGAAAUUCGUAGAUAUUAGGAAGAACACCGGUGGCGAAGGCGGCGUCACUGGCUCGAUACUGACACUGAGGUGCGAAAGCGUGGGGAGCAAACAGGAUUAGAUACCCACGUAGUCCCUGAGCGGGCUGGCAAGGCGCAU
RNAcentral lists this ribosomal RNA (449 nucleotides) under uncultured bacterium. RNAcentral describes it as "bacterial SSU rRNA". It matches the Rfam family "Bacterial small subunit ribosomal RNA", at positions 355 to 825 of the family's 1533-position model. The record is from RNAcentral.